This 482-nucleotide ribosomal RNA is filed under the name uncultured bacterium. RNAcentral describes it as "partial 16S ribosomal RNA". It matches the Rfam family "Bacterial small subunit ribosomal RNA", at positions 30 to 507 of the family's 1533-position model. The record is from RNAcentral.
AUUGAACGCUGGCGGCAUGCCUUACACAUGCAAGUCGAACGGUAACAGGGCUUCGGGUGCUGACGGGUGGCGAACGGGGGAGGAAUACAUCGGAACGUGCCCGAUCGCGGGGGAUAACGAGUCGAAAGCUUUGCUAAUACCUCAUACGAUCUACGGAUGAGAUCGUGGGAUCGUCGGAGUUCGCGCGGACGGAUGGGCCGAUGGCAGAUUAGGUAGGUGGUGGGAUAAAAGUUUACCGAGCCGACGAUCAGUAACUGUGAGGAGAGGAUGAUCCGACACCCUGUGACUGAGACACGGCCCCGACUCCUGCGGGAGGAAGCAGUGGGGAAUUUUGCACAAUGCGCGAAAGCCUAAUACAGCCAUGCCGCGUGCAGGAUGAAGGCCUUUGGGUUGUAAACUGAUUUUGUACGGAACGAAAAGCAUCUUUCUAAUAAAGAGGGGUCAUGACGGUACCGUAAGAAUAAGCACCGGCUAACUACGUG